GUGCACCAGGCGCGAAACUUCACACUGUGCGAAAGCACGAUGAGGGAAUCCCAAGUGCUUGCACGUAAGUGUAAGCUGUUUCUCUGUUUAAAACGCAGAGAGAGUAAGGGCUGGGUAAGACGGGUGCCAGCCGCCGCGGUAAUACCUGCAGCCCAAGUGGUGACCGUUAUUAUUGGGCCUAAAACGUCCGUAGCCGGUUUAAUAAAUGCCUGGGUAAAUCGUGUAGCUUAACUAUACGAAUUCCGGGUAGACUGUUAAACUCGAGACCGGGAGAAGUUAGAGGUACUCCUGGGGUAGAGGUGAAAUUCUGUAAUCCUAGGGGGACCACCAGUGGCGAAGGCGUCUAACUAGAACGGGUCUGACGGUGAGGGACGAAGCCCUGGGGCGCAAACGGGAUUAGAUACCCCGGUAGU
RNAcentral lists this ribosomal RNA (413 nucleotides) under uncultured microorganism. Its description in RNAcentral is "bacterial SSU rRNA". It matches the Rfam family "Archaeal small subunit ribosomal RNA", at positions 330 to 745 of the family's 1478-position model. The record is from RNAcentral.